RNAcentral lists this unclassified non-coding RNA (529 nucleotides) under Chiliadenus candicans. RNAcentral's name for it is "partial external transcribed spacer". The record is from RNAcentral. Lineage: Eukaryota; Viridiplantae; Streptophyta; Magnoliopsida; Asterales; Asteraceae.
UGUUUGGUUUGUUACCGGUGGUUGGCUCUCUGCUUUUGCAACAACUUCCACCUGGCAUUCCUCUUCAUUUAUGCGUCAAGGUUGCAUUUCCUUGAGCGCUUAUGGUUUCCUGUGUUGCCUACCUACGUGACGGUAUUGUUUGAUUACAUCGAAGUUGUGUUUCAUCAUGUGUCAUUUGUAUGGCGUAGGAUGAACCUCAAAGCAGCUUCUAUGAUCCACCUUGUCGACGCACAUGGAUUGACGUUGUGGCUCAUUGAGUUUUGCUUGGUUUUCUGGAUACAGAACAUGAUAUGGGUGUGGGUCUUACGAGAUCCUUGUUUUGCCCUUGUUGAACGUUGUUGUUACUCCGAGAUGACUACUUAUCCCGAAUUGGCUCGUACCACCGGGGUAGGUUGUGUUGUUGAAGAGCAAUAAUGGCGUUCUUGCUUCUCUAAAACAGACAGCCUCGCCUUGAUUGGCUAGUACCAGCGGGUAGGCUAUGUCGAAGAGGGAUGCUACCUGGUUGAUCCUGCCAGUAGUCAUAUGCUUG